RNAcentral lists this ribosomal RNA (857 nucleotides) under Marixanthomonas ophiurae. RNAcentral describes it as "bacterial SSU rRNA". It matches the Rfam family "Bacterial small subunit ribosomal RNA", at positions 57 to 907 of the family's 1533-position model. The record is from RNAcentral. Lineage: Bacteria; Pseudomonadati; Bacteroidota; Flavobacteriia; Flavobacteriales; Flavobacteriaceae.
GCAGUCGAGGGGUAACAUAGGGGUGCUUGCACCCUUGAUGACGACCGGCGCACGGGUGAGUAACGCGUAUACAAUCUGCCUUGUACAGGAGUAUAGCCCAGGGAAACUUGGAUUAAUCCUCCAUAGCCUAUAUAAAUAGCAUUAUUAAUAUAGUAAAGAUUUAUCGGUACAAGAUGAGUAUGCGUCCUAUUAGUCUGUUGGUAAGGUAACGGCUUACCAAAACUACGAUAGGUAGGGGCCCUGAGAGGGGGAUCCCCCACACUGGUACUGAGACACGGACCAGACUCCUACGGGAGGCAGCAGUGAGGAAUAUUGGACAAUGGGUGAGAGCCUGAUCCAGCCAUGCCGCGUGCAGGAAGACGGCCCUAUGGGUUGUAAACUGCUUUUAUACGGGAAGAAACCCCCCAACGUGUUGGGGGCUGACGGUACCGUAAGAAUAAGGACCGGCUAACUCCGUGCCAGCAGCCGCGGUAAUACGGAGGGUCCGAGCGUUAUCCGGAAUCAUUGGGUUUAAAGGGUCCGUAGGCGGGCAGCUCAGUCAGUGGUGAAAGUUUGCGGCUUAACCGUAAAAUUGCCAUUGAUACUGGUUGUCUUGAAUUGGUGUGAAGUGGUUAGAAUGAGUAGUGUAGCGGUGAAAUGCAUAGAUAUUACUCAGAAUACCGAUUGCGAAGGCAGAUCACUAACACUAUAUUGACGCUGAGGGACGAAAGCGUGGGGAGCGAACAGGAUUAGAUACCCUGGUAGUCCACGCCGUAAACGAUGGUUACUAGCUGUUGGGCCGAUUGGGGCUCAGUGGCCAAGCGAAAGUGAUAAGUAACCCACCUGGGGAGUACGUUCGCAAGAAUGAAACUCAAAGG